GACACGCUCUCAACAAGAGCGCACCUUUUUUUCCCCAUUAAGAACACCUUCGAUUCUCGUUUGGUUUUCCCUCCACACGCGCGCAGCAACUGGUGAUCGAUUCGCACUUCCGGCACAGCUCGGCACUCCUCCUCCUCCUCUCUCUCUCUUCGACUCGUACACACAUUUCUCAAGAUCGAAGAUUCCUCCUGUAAAAUCGUAACAAACAAAAUUACUGGUUAAACUCGAGGAAAUGGGAAGAAGGAGAAGCAGCAGUUUAUAA
RNAcentral lists this long non-coding RNA (262 nucleotides) under Polistes fuscatus (common paper wasp). RNAcentral describes it as "uncharacterized LOC122518077". Lineage: Eukaryota; Metazoa; Arthropoda; Insecta; Hymenoptera; Vespidae. The record is from RNAcentral.